AUUGAACGCUGGCGGCAUGCUUUACACAUGCAAGUCGAACGGUAACAGGCCUUCGGGUGCUGACGAGUGGCGAACGGGUGAGUAAUGCAUCGGAACGUACCCAGAGGUGGGGGAUAACGCAGCGAAAGCUGUGCUAAUACCGCAUGUGAUCUGAGGAUGAAAGCGGGGGACCGAGCAGCAAUGUUUGGCCUCGCGCCUUUGGAGCGGCCGAUGUCGGAUUAGCUAGUUGGUGGGGUAAAGGCCUACCAAGGCGACGAUCCGUAGCUGGUCUGAGAGGACGACCAGCCACACUGGGACUGAGGCACGGCCCAGACUCCUACGGGAGGCAGCAGUGGGGAAUUUUGGACAAUGGGCGCAAGCCUGAUCCAGCAAUGCCGCGUGCGGGAAGAAGGCCUUCGGGUUGUAAACCGCUUUUGGCAGGAACGAAGCGGUGUCCGCUAAUACCGGGCGCUAAUGACGGUACCUGCAGAAUAAGCACCGGCUAACUACGUG
RNAcentral lists this ribosomal RNA (492 nucleotides) under uncultured bacterium. Its description in RNAcentral is "partial 16S ribosomal RNA". It matches the Rfam family "Bacterial small subunit ribosomal RNA", at positions 29 to 507 of the family's 1533-position model. The record is from RNAcentral.